UGAUUAAAGCUGAGAAAAGUGGGGAAACAAUGAUUAACUUAUACAGGCUGGGAAUUAAUUAUCUCCAUCCAACACAUUCAGUAUCAAAGUGAGCCGAUCUCACUCACUGUCAGACACUGCAGAGCGAGAAACAGAUGAUGGUUCCAUUGCAAACAUCCUUUUGCUGAAUAUUCUACUUACGGUAACUUGCCCAACAGCCAACCAGGAAGUGAAAAAGAAAAUGUGGAGAAGGAAUACCCACUCCAGCGUCAGAGUUCCAUUAUGGAGAACUAGAAAUGAGGGGGCUGGAAAAUGUAGUCUAGCUAUGUACUGAGAGAGAAAAAGGAGUUUGGUGAGUUUCUACCAUGGUUUCAUGACACGAUGAGAACCUGAUAAAAGUACCAGUGAGGAGAGGAACAAGACUGGGCUAAUGGCUGGAGAAGCUGAGCUGGAGUGAUAAUGUCAACGUGGCAGCAGUCAUGAAGACCAAGGGAGAAGCAAUCAAACAAUAGCAAUAAAUCAAGGAGACAGAUCCGGGUGAGGGCAGUCUCACCGAAGCAUAGCAGAAGGCCAGCAGAAGUGAAGGCCGUGUGUUGGAGUGAAGGUCUGAGCCCAUAGGUCUCCAUGGAGAAGUACCUUGAGAUAUUUCUAGGAAAAAGAAGUAGUCAGAGGGCCUGGGGAUUAGGCAGGUCUCCUUGUGAGGGCCAGACACGUGGACCACUCUCACAGGUAACCACUUACUGGCUGUAAUCUCUGGGCCAUGGAAAGGUGAAUGUAUUAGUUACAAGUCACAUAAGUGCAAACAUAUAUGCAUAGACAUACUAGUGUCUUUCAUUGAUUGAGCAUUACCUGUUUGCCAGGCACUAUACAUAUAUAUAUAUACUCUAAUUUUUACAACAGUGCUACGAUGUACUCAUUUUCCUUAGUUUCCAUGAAGAAACUAAAGUUUAAAGAGAUUAACUUGUUAUACAUUUUUGUAAGCAAAAAGCUGGAUUUGAACAUGGUGAAUCUGACACUAGAUUCCAAGCCACAGUGCAGUCACAUCUAUAUUCAUACUCUCUAUGAUAUAUGUGCAUAUAUUUUUAAAUGUAUAUUUUGUGACAGAGUGUAUCAAGUAGCUAUUGUUGCAUAACAAACUGCUGCUAAAAAUAGCAACUUAAAAACAGCUCUUCAUUAUUUUUCACAAGUCUAUGGGAUGGCUGAGCAAUUCUGCUGAUGUGGGCUGGGUUUAGUUGAUUUUGGCAAGUGUCUCUCGCACCCCUACGAUCAGCUAACAAACAGGUUGGCUGGGGGCUGCCGGGUCUGGGAUGGCCUCAGCUGAGGUGACCUGGCUCUGGUCCCCGUGGUCUCUCAUCCUCCAGCAGGCUAGCCCAGCUUUUUCUCAUGGCGAUGGCAAAGUUUCAAGAGAGAGUGGGUGCACACUAAGCCUCUUGAGGACUAGGCAUAGAACUGGCACUCCACCACUUUUGCCACAUUUGCCAAAGAGAGUCAUAAGACCAGCCCAGACUCAAGAGUGGGGAAAUAGAACCCACAUCUUGAUGGGAGGAAUUGAAAGGUCAUUUUGCAAUGGGUUUGGAUACAAGGAGGGGUAGAGAAUGGGGCCAUUUCAGUAAUCAACCUACUGCAUUUAACAGCUUAGGUAUUUUUCCCCUAAAAAGUAGGUAAGAAAACAGCAUGUUUGCUUAAAAUGUGGUUUUAUUAAUUAGUGCAAGGGCACACGAGUCUUCCAAAAUGUAUGUGUUGUCUAGUCCCUCUGGUCUAAAAAGGGCUGAAAUGGACAACAUGUUAAAUGGAUAAAUACCUUUUUUAUUUAGGGAGGCAGGGCACAAAAAUACCCACUUCCAGGCACCAGAUCCAUCUCAAUAGAAAAUAGCCUUGCAGUCGAUGAUUUUUAAAAAGCAAAACAAAACUGAAAAUUUGACUUCCUGUAUGCCCUGCAAAGAAGGGCGGGUGGAGAAGCUGUGAAUGUGUGAGGAGCAGCUGGCUUUUAUUUUUAAACACAUAUUAUCGCUACCCAGAUUUUUUCUAGAAAAAUGGAAAGAGACUUACUAAGGAAUUCUAACACACAGGGAUAUCAUUUCAAGUAGGUGCUAAUGAGAUUGAUGUGGUCUUUUCAGAAUAAAGUCUUGUCUUUAUAAUCUAUUCAUUUAGUCCAUGAAGUGGGAGAAAGAAACACAAAAUGCUGAAAUGUGGAAAAUGCUAGAGAUUCCUAAUAGGCCCUCAAGAAAUGUGUGGAUUGUCAGAGCCAGGCUUCAUUCACAUAGACUUUUCCCUCAGGGAGUACAGUUUGGACAUUCAUAAUUAUGAGAAUCUCCAUGUCAGAUUCCCGUAACACUAACAUCCUUUGUUCAGAGGGAAUUAUCCAAUACCAUCAGUGCUAACUUCAGUGCCACAAUAUUAUUCUUAGGUGAAAAGUUAUGAAUAAAUUUAAAGUGUAACAUGUAGAAAGCCAAGGAGAGGGCCAACCAAAUGCUUCUUCUGCUCUUCUGAGCUCACUUAUAGUAAAUCUGGAAAUGAUAUGGCAACUGACUCAUAAUUGAAUUGUUUUGUAGGUUUUAUGGCCAACUUACAAAACUAAUUUCUAUAAACUUUCAUCAAGAAUGGUAAAAAAAAUGUCUACAGGAACCAGUGAGAUAAUAUACGUGGCUAAGAAGGCAAGGUGGAAGUGGGUAGAGGUGAUUGGGGGAAUUGUAGAAUCCUUAUUUAAAAGGAGCUGAUGAAAACUUAAACAAAAGCACUGUGCAAUCCAAAAAAAGCACGUCUCUGGGUCAGAUAUGACCUGACUGAGUCAACUCAUGGUCUUUAUGAUAGAUCAACGUUAGAUCAAUAGAAAACUGCAUGCCUCUAAUCGUAACUCCUCUUGUACCAAAUUAGCACAAGGAUGAAAUUAAUUUUUCUUCUAAUUUAUUUUCUACCCUUUCCUUUAGAAAGUUAAAAUAAUACUACAAAAUUAUGUGCCAAUCUCAAGAUGCACAUGUAUAUGUGAUUUUCACGUCUGAGAUUUCCCUUUGGGUGUUUUCUGGAAUUGUCUGUGCAUAUUAAGAAAUGCAAAAACAAGUAUUUGGAGAUAACCAAGAUUCUAAACCUCAAACCUCUCUUGAAACGUAUAUAAAACUUAGACCAAAAGGUUACUUAUUCUUGUGUUAUCUAGGUGGGCUCUAAAUAAUAUGUUGUGAGACCUGAAUGUAGCUGGGACCUCAGCUUUCGUGCCAUGUCAAUGGAAAGAAACAGCAGAAAAGCAGAAAAGAAAUGAACAUUUGUCUAUACGAUUUCAUGCAAACAACUAUAUGAAUCAAUAAAUUUCCUAUUUCCUCUAAUAAGAAAAAUCAUUAAAAACAUAACUAGUCAUUUUUUGAAUUGUUCUCCACAGUGUUCCAGAGCACAUCAUCUUUAAUUGUACCCAAGUUGUUGGAGAAACAGCAUUGACAGCAUGUAUUGUGCCAUCACUGAGAAUGUCAUCCCAAGGAUUAAGUACCCAUUGUGAAAUAUUAGAUCACUUGUUUUUA
Macaca mulatta (Rhesus monkey) is the source of this 3485-nucleotide non-coding RNA. Lineage: Eukaryota; Metazoa; Chordata; Mammalia; Primates; Cercopithecidae. The record is from RefSeq and is a predicted model, not a curated record.